CGAGGGGACGGAGUGAGCAGAAGUAGGACAGUCAGUCAGAAAACCAGCGGAGUGAAGGGGACAUUCUGGCCGGAAGAGUGGCUCCGGUGCUUUAAUGCGAGCUUUGCUGUUCUGGACACCCAUGCUGGACCGGGAUGCUAGCUGUCAGGGAUUGUUAGCUAGCCGGCUAUCAGGGUGGUUAACGGGGUUCGGCUGAGAAUGUGGCGCUGCUGUAACUGCGGGUUACGUCUCUUGGCUUUAUGCUUUAUGUUGAAGGUUAGCUAUAACAGAAGUGAGACUCUCCCAGGAAAAAAUCCGGCUCAUCUUGUCCGUCACCGUGGCUGAUGGUGGGGAUUAGCUCGCUAGCUUCAUUCGCUGAUCAAGGAGGAAGACGGAGGAGAACUUGUGAUCAGUUAUCGGAACCUCCUUCCUCCUAAUGGACACCAGCUACAUGAGUUAAAGAAGAGAAACAGCGAAAUACAAUAAAAAAUAUCCCGGUAUUGUUCCCACAGUGGGAACAUUCAGGUUAAAGUUUUUUUUUUUUUUUUUGUUUACAGAAACGUGUACAAGCAAAAAACAAACAAACAAAAAAAACAACCUUUUUCUCUCCACUUAAAGCUUAAAUAAAAAAAAUAACAUUGAAGGAUACUGACAUUCAGCUUGUUCCUGUUCAUCAUCAAUCUAAAUGUUUUACUGUCCCAUGUUUAGGCUUUCAAAUGAUUUCAAAAAUGUUCUGGAGCUUUAAUAUUCCAGGCAGGGCUGCAUAAUGUCAGGAAAUGAUGAUGUUUUAGAUGGCAAAUCCACAUUUCUCACUGCUUCUUCUCCUAACUGUUAUGAUGAACACCUGUGACCUUCAGCAUCCGCUGCUGCCAGACUCCAUCCAACAGGCUGGUCGGCAUUAUUCUAGAGGGGACGACUCCAACCUGGAACCCCUCUGUGGCGUUAAUUUUGCACAUUGGCAAUAUAUUUAUUUUGACUAACAAGGUUGAAAUAAAAACUCUAGCCAUAAUUGUUUUUUGGGGGGUUUUUUUACCCAUCAAUUUUUCAAGUGAUGGUAUAUUUAAAUCGAUUAUAUUUUCAUUCCAUUUAGUCAGCUUUCAGUCCCAACAAGAGAAUCCACAUCCAACAAAUGAAUGCAUGUAACUUCUUUUUGUGUCCACAAUGGCAAAAAACCCACUGUCUGUCUCACAACUUCUUGCUGGACCACGCAGUCCUAAAUUCUGCAGCUGCUUGUGGGAAAUCAAAUGUCUGAAUUAAGGGUGCCCCGAUUUAUAGACCAGCCAAUUUUUUUAGUUUUGGGAGAUCAAUGAUUGGCCGAUACUUAUUCUCCGAUAUUAUCUACAUCAGUAGUGGUCUAAAAAAAAAAAAUCAGCCACCGUCCUCUUGUGAGGUUUGA
This is a long non-coding RNA of Xiphophorus couchianus (Monterrey platyfish), 1375 nucleotides long. RefSeq lists it as uncharacterized. The record is from RefSeq and is a predicted model, not a curated record. Lineage: Eukaryota; Metazoa; Chordata; Actinopteri; Cyprinodontiformes; Poeciliidae. The transcript is spliced from 2 exons.